GCCACUCAUGCCACCAACCAGGUGAAGAAGGAACUCAUCUUCAUGCCACCAACCAAAUGAUGAAAUGUACAACCCGUACUCUCUUUCAUGCCACCAACCAGGUGAUGAAAUGUACAACCCAUACUAUAAUAUCAUUUGGCAACUUGCCAUUCAUGCCAUCAACCAGGGGAAGAAGGAACUCAUCCUCGUACCAUUAGCCAGGUGAUGAAAUGUGAUGAAAGGUGAUGAAGGAACUCACCUUCGUACCACCAACCAAGUGAUGAAAGCAACUCACCAUUCAUUCCACCUACUAGAAGACGAGCGGUAAAACUUGUACAUAUGAACUCCUAGCAUUCACAAAUAAUAAAAAACCCUCAAGCUUGACAACUCAACUAGGGGAUCACUUAUGCCCAACAAGAGUUAUAGUCACCAACAAAGUCUUAUUGCAAGCCAACAACAGCUUCAGUGCAUGGCAUACGAAGAUCAAGCUAUUCAGCCUUCUUGCAUCUGCUUUAAACAUUUCGCCUCUGUAACAAUGCAAACACUACAACUCGUAGAAAGCUUCACACACUCUUGAUCAAGACAAUGUGAAGCAAAACCAAUUUAUAAUGCCAACAAGAGCUUCAUCAAAGGAGUUCAACCACAAUUCUCAAAAGCUUCACACACUAUUGAUCAAGACAGUGUGAAACAAAACCAAUUUAUGGUGCCAAUAAGAGCUUCAUCAAUGGAGGGCAACCACAAUUCUCAAAAGCUUCACACACUCUUAAUCAAGACAAUGUGAAGCAAAACCAAUUUAUGGUGCCAACAAAAGCUUCAUCAAAGGAGUUCAACCACAAUUCUCAAAAGCUUCACACUCUUGAUAAAGACAGUGUGAAGCAAAACCAAUUUAUGGUGCCAACAAGAGCUUCAUCAAUGGAGGGCAACCACAAUUCUCAAAAGCUUCACACACUCUUGAUCAAGAGCUUCAUCAAUGGAGGGUAACCACAAUUCUCAAAAGCUUCACACACUCUUGAUCAAGACAGUGUGAAGCAAAACCAAUUUAUUGUGUCAACAAAAGCUUCAUCAAAGGAGUUCAACCACAAUUCUCAAAAGCUUCACACACUCUUGAUCAAGACAGUGUGAAGCAAAACCAAUUUAUGGUGCCAACAAAAGUUUCACCAAUGGAGGGCAACUACAAUUCUCAGACCUUCGAAGCAAAUUCAAUUUAUAUGGUUCAUCCAAACCUUCGACUACUACAAGGUGUGGGUUGCAUCACAAUCUCUUGCUCAACAGUGUGGAAGCAAAAUUUGUAUAUGUUGUCUUUCCCACAUUUUCAAAUUUCUCGUUUCCAAAAAAAAAAAAAAUUGGGAAAUUCAACAAAGCUUCAUCAAUGGAGGACAACUACAAAUUCUCAAAAGCUUCAC
Molecule: long non-coding RNA, 1382 nt
Filed under: Malus domestica (apple)
Lineage: Eukaryota; Viridiplantae; Streptophyta; Magnoliopsida; Rosales; Rosaceae
Description: long non-coding RNA (MDOM_LNC017440)
Source: RNAcentral